RNAcentral lists this long non-coding RNA (1094 nucleotides) under Phasianus colchicus (ring-necked pheasant). RNAcentral describes it as "lncRNA (ENSPCLG00000004114.1)". Lineage: Eukaryota; Metazoa; Chordata; Aves; Galliformes; Phasianidae. The record is from RNAcentral.
AUGCAUCUGGGAACAAAUGCAUCCCAACCUCCUUUAGACUUUUCACAAUUAGUCCUACCAGCUGCUCUCAGAACUGCAUACCGUCUAGCAGCCAUGUUCAGAGCGCAGUGUAGUGGCUGUCAACUGGCCAAGCCUGCACAUGCUUUGGAGCUCAUCUCUGGUUUCCCAGGGAACCUCUCCUGGGUCCUCUCACAACGUUCCAAGACACCCAGGAGACAUUUCAUUACUGCCACUGUUCAUGGCUUAGUACAUCCCGAAGUAAUCAGCACAUCAAAGCUAAUUGUAACUGUGACAUACCUUUCCCUAAAGAAAUUAUUGCACAAUACAACCAGAACUCAAACUGGAUGUGUCACUGCUGAGAGCAUACCUGACUGCAUUUGCAAUUUCUACUAACCAAGUGUCCCACGCUUCUUCAGGCAUCGCCAGCGGUGAGACCAGGCUUUCUUCUGAGAAGUCAAGAACAGUGUUAGCUGGGAUGAGACAAAGUAAACGUUCCCUGAAGUCUGUGUGCAAUACGCACAGGAGAAGAUGAUUUCUGCUCAUGAUAAAUUGAAGAUGUAGACAUUAAGCAGCUUGUAGUUGCUUAAUUUCAUUUAACAUUGACACGUUGAUUUCAUGCCGUUCUGCUUUCUAAGACACUGUCAUGUGAUACCAAGUGAAACACUUUCUAUUUCUUCCAGCAAAAUUCAUCAUGUCAUCAAAAGCAUCCACUUAGUUUGAGAAAGUACAUUUAUUUAUAGUGGUGUGGGUUGCCAUCGUUUUUAGUGACCUCUGUCAGGUCCCUGAGCACCGUGCCAGCUGCUGCACUAUUUGGCCUGUAUCUUGUUGCACUUUAUUAGUCUGAAUCUCAGCCCUGUCCUGCACCAGAGCCCCAGAGCAGACAUGUAGACAUGUGGCUGUCACAGCAGCUUAUAUGGAGAUUACCAGGAAGAUUUUCAUACUUGGAGUUUCCUCAUUUUAUUCCAGUCCUAAUCCAAAAGUAAAUAACAAAUUUUGAAGUGCCCUCUGGAAUUAAAAAUCAAUUUUAGAAGCCUAUUUUGAUUUAAUUGAAAGGUUUCAAUAAAACAGCAGAUCUGUGAUGUUUUAAUAAGCUC